AACGCACAUUGCGCCCCCUGGUAUUCCGGGGGGCAUGCCUGUCCGAGCGUCAUUGCUGCCCUCAAGCACGGCUUGUGUGUUGGGCCCCGUCCCCCGGUCCCGGGGGACGGGCCCGAAAGGCAGCGGCGGCACCGCGUCCGGUCCUCGAGCGUAUGGGGCUUUGUCACCCGCUCUGUAGGCCCGGCCGGCGCCUGCCGAUCAACCCAUUUUUAUCCAGGUUGACCUCGGAUCAGGUAGGGAUACCCGCUGAACUUAA
Molecule: unclassified non-coding RNA, 256 nt
Filed under: uncultured fungus
Lineage: Eukaryota; Fungi
Description: partial contains 5.8S ribosomal RNA, internal transcribed spacer 2, and large subunit ribosomal RNA
Rfam family: 5.8S ribosomal RNA (bases 1-52)
Source: RNAcentral